AUGGGCCUACGGGGGGCAGCAGUAGGGAAUCUUCCACAAUGGGCGAAAGCCUGAUGGAGCAACGCCGCGUGGGUGAAGAAGGACUUCGGAUCGUAAAACCCUGUUGUUAGAGAAGAAAGUGCGUGAGAGUAACUGUUCACGUUUCGACGGUAUCUAACCAGAAAGCCACGGCUAACUACGUGCCAGCAGCCGCGGUAAUACGUAGGUGGCAAGCGUUGUCCGGAUUUAUUGGGCGUAAAGGGAACGCAGGCGGUCUUUUAAGUCUGAUGUGAAAGCCUUCGGCUUAACCG
RNAcentral lists this ribosomal RNA (290 nucleotides) under uncultured bacterium. RNAcentral's name for it is "partial 16S ribosomal RNA". It matches the Rfam family "Bacterial small subunit ribosomal RNA", at positions 333 to 615 of the family's 1533-position model. The record is from RNAcentral.